UGUGGUGAUUGAGUAUGUUGUAUAGGCUAUAAGGGUGUCAAUGAUUGUAUGUUUGAGUAGGUGUUGUGCGGUUAUUUAUUCUCAUUUCUUAUUAUUUUAAACAGACCCGGGAGGAAACGAUGAUGAACCAGCCAGACAGCCCGCCCGCCACCCGGCCGAGCUGUAGUGUAUGCCAACAUGCUGACAUGCUAAAAUUUGUUAGCACUUCAAGAUCUUAUAAUGGAAAAUUGUAUCCAAACUGAAGUAUAAACCAGCCUGGUUGCUGUAGCCACAGAGGAAUUUUCAAGGACAAGAACCAGUGCUGGUCAAAAUGUGGUCUCAAGUGGUUUUCCAUACCGGUUCUCGGCAAGGAUUUCCGAGAAAGGAAUACCGUCUACAAAUCAUGAUGUGCCAAUAAGCUCCAGUUAGCUGUGGCUUCCCCCCCGGCGGUAGUCCUGAAAUCUAAAUCCAGGAGAUGCAGCUCUGAAUCCAAUAUUUCAAAAAAAUGAAGAUGUU
Molecule: long non-coding RNA, 495 nt
Organism: Mya arenaria
Lineage: Eukaryota; Metazoa; Mollusca; Bivalvia; Myida; Myidae
Exons: 3
Source: RefSeq, a predicted model, not a curated record